Molecule: non-coding RNA, 25 nt
Filed under: Mus musculus (house mouse)
Lineage: Eukaryota; Metazoa; Chordata; Mammalia; Rodentia; Muridae
Source: RNAcentral
UUCAGUACUGACAGCAAGGACACGA